GGUCACGUAGUUCAGUUUUGGUUAGAAUGCCGGCCUGUCACGCCGGAGGUCGCGGGUUCAAGUCCCGUCGUGACCG
This 76-nucleotide transfer RNA is filed under the name Bacteroidales bacterium. Its description in RNAcentral is "tRNA-Asp". It matches the Rfam family "tRNA". From Rfam's summary of the family: Transfer RNA (tRNA) molecules are approximately 80 nucleotides in length. Their secondary structure includes four short double-helical elements and three loops (D, anti-codon, and T loops). Further hydrogen bonds mediate the characteristic L-shaped molecular structure. tRNAs have two regions of fundamental functional importance: the anti-codon, which is responsible for specific mRNA codon recognition, and the 3' end, to which the tRNAs corresponding amino acid is attached (by aminoacyl-tRNA synthetases). tRNAs cope with the degeneracy of the genetic code in two manners: having more than one tRNA (with a specific anti-codon) for a particular amino acid; and 'wobble' base-pairing, i.e. permitting non-standard base-pairing at the 3rd anti-codon position. The record is from RNAcentral. Lineage: Bacteria; Pseudomonadati; Bacteroidota; Bacteroidia; Bacteroidales.